Long non-coding RNA from Brassica napus (rape), 701 nucleotides. RefSeq lists it as uncharacterized. The record is from RefSeq and is a predicted model, not a curated record. The transcript is spliced from 2 exons. Lineage: Eukaryota; Viridiplantae; Streptophyta; Magnoliopsida; Brassicales; Brassicaceae.
AGAGCAUGUCCAUCAGUAAGGAGCCCUUAAGGGACCUCAUAGGGGUCCUUAACUUUUUCUCGAGCGGUAGGAGAUUCGCGACGAGGAUGAAGAAGAUACGGCGAAGCUCGAACUCGACGACGAAGGCGAGCUACUGUCGCAGUGUAACGGGGACGGUGGCUUGAAGAGGCGGAAGCUCGUUGAUUCCGACGACAGUGGAGGAUUGACGCCAUGGAGAAAGCUUUGUCACGGUUUAGAGCUGAACCGAGAUUGGGGAAUCGCGGAGAGAUGCGGCAGCUUGGAAUGGUGAACACAGUUACGACCAGAGGGCUUGAUGCUAUCGCCGGAGAAGCUCAGAUUGAUGACGAAGUGCUGUAGCGGCUAUGGAGAAGCUUGAUACGAAGAAGAAGGGGAGUCGGAGCUCGAGCUCCUAAAGUUUCACAGCGGAACAAAGGAGAGAGACACAAUCUCGACAUCCAAUGAAACACUGCCACCUACGGUUCCUUACCAUUUCUUAAAAUCCCAUAAUAAGUAUCGGUCCUGUCCUUUUUCCUCAUUUUUCAUUUAUUUAUUUAUUUUCUUUUUUGGGAACCCUGCGGCAAGGACCGCCGAUGGACAUGGUCUUAACCCAUGCACGGUUUCAUAGCUAGGUUUUUGAUUUUUUUUGUCUGAAAAAAAUAAUAAUUAAAAAAGAAUCAAUCGCGGGUCGCUUUGUGUCGGUA